CACCGCGGUUAUACGAGAGGCCCAAGUUGAUAGGUACCGGCGUAAAGGGUGGUUAGGGAUAACUAUAAAAUAAAGCCGAAUAUCUUCAACGCUGUUAUACGCCCUCGAAGAUUCGAAGCCCCAUUACGAAAGUAGCUUUACCUUCCCCCGAACCCACGAAAGCCAGGGUA
RNAcentral lists this ribosomal RNA (170 nucleotides) under Mulloidichthys vanicolensis (yellowfin goatfish). RNAcentral's name for it is "partial 12S ribosomal RNA". RNAcentral also lists the same sequence under 2 other names. Lineage: Eukaryota; Metazoa; Chordata; Actinopteri; Syngnathiformes; Mullidae. The record is from RNAcentral.